GGGGGAUAUUGCACAAUGGAGGAAACUCUGAUGCAGCGACGCCGCGUGAGGGAAGACGGUCUUCGGAUUGUAAACCUCUGUCUUAGGGGAAGAAAAUGACGGUACCCUAAGAGGAAGCUCCGGCUAACUACGUGCCAGCAGCCGCGGUAAUACGUAGGGAGCGAGCGUUGUCCGGAAUUACUGGGUGUAAAGGGAGCGUAGGCGGGGCAGCAAGUUGGAUGUUUAAACUACCGGCUUAACCGGUAACUGCAUCCAAAACUGCAGUUCUUGAGUGAAGUAGAGGCAGGCGGAAUUCCUAGUGUAGCGGUGAAAUGCGUAGAGAUCGGGAGGAACACCAGUGGCGAAGGCGGCCUACUGGGCUUUAACUGACGCUGAAGCACGAAAGCAUGGGGAGCAAAC
This 399-nucleotide ribosomal RNA is filed under the name uncultured bacterium. RNAcentral's name for it is "bacterial SSU rRNA". It matches the Rfam family "Bacterial small subunit ribosomal RNA", at positions 356 to 773 of the family's 1533-position model. The record is from RNAcentral.